ACAGUGCUGUUUUAUUGAGGGGAGAACACGAAAACCAUAACGGAAAAAAGCGUUGCAGUAGUUAAAGAGAUCGGUCUGAUAUAGACUUUCACGAGUAUGGGCUACGUGUGGGCUACGAGUAUACCGUACUUAACGUAAAUUUCAAAAGAAAGCAUUUCAAGAUAUGCGACAGGUUUAGAGUAACAUAGAAAACUACUAUUUUCUUGUUGAUUUUAGCCUACGUGUAACCCUCCUUCCGUAUAGUUCUAUGUUCAAUGUAAGUCCAAUUUGGAAGGGAUCGGCAAGGAUUAAGAUGGCAUUUUGUCAUCUUAAUGUCACGUGAAUUUCUUUUAAUGGUUGUUUAUAGUGUGCGAGUAAUAUGUAGUUUCCAAAGCAACCUGCCAUUAUCAGCGUCGGCACAUUAUGACAAAGUAAUCGUGUCUGUUUUAAAAAGGAAAUAAUGGAAACAUGGGUAGAAUCGUUUGGUUUCCAUUGGGUCCUACCCAUGACCUGGUUAUAGGUAGGCUUAGACAUAAUUAUUGGCUACAUUUGCAAUGCUUCACUUCGGUAACAAAUGGGCUAGGCCCAGUGUUUUCGUACCACUGUCCACUUAGGAAAGAGUUGCAGCUUUCAUCAAAGAAACUGAUGAUCUAAAAGUUGAGACAGACUGGAUGAGCUAGGCUGCUUUGUCUGGACGAAAAUGAACCGACGAUGGACUGACACCGCCCGCUGGCCUGGCCAUUACUGAUUCUUGAGGACAUGAGGACCACCAAGCUUGGACGAGACUGGACAAUGACGAAGCUGCUCUACUGGACAAGGAUGCCCUCAUUGGAAACUUGAGUUAAAAAAAACUAGCCUGUACAAUAUGAAAUGAUAAAUCGACUGCAUAAUGCAACGUCAUUAAUGUUAUACACUAAGGCAACAACAAUAAAAUAAAAUGAAAAGUAAUUUUGAUUUCAUUAAAUUAUUUAUGCCUCUAAAAUAAUCUUAAACCGGAUACUGCAACAGACAGUUAACAAUGGACAAUAAUGGAAACUUGCUGAACAAUUAUUGUAAGGGUAAUAAUUUGUCACUGGCUUUUUAGCAGUGACCUGUCUGAGAGAAGGGAUGUUCCUUUGAUCUGUCCUUGGUCAUCCAAAAUUAUUGCACCAAUAAGUUAAUAUUUCAUACUCCUUACCUUAAUGCAUUCAAUUGGAUCUUCUCGGUAAAUUAUAAACGAGGUUUUGCCUAAGGCUUUCUAUUUGCUUUUUGUUCAGUUGACAAUGGAGAAUUUUGCUCUAUAAAUUUAAUUUGAUAUUGAAAGUGCAUUUUUAAGAAAACCAAUUUAAGUCAUAAGAGUUUUGAAAGAUUUCAAAAAGGAUUAAUUUAUUGUUUAAAAACUGAAGAAAUGUAACAAACUUUAUUUAAAUUUAACGUCUUUAACAAGACGUCGGUUAACUAAAACGUGACUUUCUUUCCAUUGUAUAUUUAUUAGAAAACACCAGAACGUUUAAUUUUUAGGAAAAUUUAAAGAAACUGUUCAGGAACUUCUAUCCAUCAAAAUGUAUUGCAACAGGUGUAAGUGACACUCAAAUUACAUUUGUGUUUGUCCUUUUGUGAUUUAUUUCAUUGCACUUUUUUUACUUGUUAUAUUUUGUACUUCGUAUGCACAAUUGUUUUUCUUGGUGGUUUUGCAUGUCUUUUCAUUUUCUUAUUAAUAAUUAACUAACCUCACAAAAG
This is a long non-coding RNA of Patiria miniata (bat star), 1698 nucleotides long. RefSeq lists it as uncharacterized. The record is from RefSeq and is a predicted model, not a curated record. Lineage: Eukaryota; Metazoa; Echinodermata; Asteroidea; Valvatida; Asterinidae. The transcript is spliced from 2 exons.